UGCUAAAUGGAUGCAUUUUUCCUAAGUUG
This 29-nucleotide non-coding RNA is filed under the name Rattus norvegicus (Norway rat). Lineage: Eukaryota; Metazoa; Chordata; Mammalia; Rodentia; Muridae. The record is from RNAcentral.